RNAcentral lists this ribosomal RNA (883 nucleotides) under Chlorociboria aeruginosa. RNAcentral's name for it is "SSU rRNA". It matches the Rfam family "Eukaryotic small subunit ribosomal RNA", at positions 63 to 937 of the family's 1831-position model. The record is from RNAcentral. Lineage: Eukaryota; Fungi; Ascomycota; Leotiomycetes; Helotiales; Chlorociboriaceae.
GUAUAAGCAUCUAUACCGUGAAACUGCGAAUGGCUCAUUAAAUCAGUUAUCGUUUAUUUGAUAGUACCUUACUACUUGGAUAACCGUGGUAAUUCUAGAGCUAAUACAUGCUAAAAACCUCGACUUCGGGAGGGGUGUAUUUAUUAGAUAAAAAACCAAUGCCCUCCGGGGCUCCUUGGUGAUUCAUAAUAACUUAACGAAUCGCAUGGCCUUGUGCCGGCGAUGGUUCAUUCAAAUUUCUGCCCUAUCAACUUUCGAUGGUAGGAUAGUGGCCUACCAUGGUUUCAACGGGUAACGGGGAAUUAGGGUUCUAUUCCGGAGAGGGAGCCUGAGAAACGGCUACCACAUCCAAGGAAGGCAGCAGGCGCGCAAAUUACCCAAUCCCGACACGGGGAGGUAGUGACAAUAAAUACUGAUACAGGGCUCUUUUGGGUCUUGUAAUUGGAAUGAGUACAAUUUAAAUCCCUUAACGAGGAACAAUUGGAGGGCAAGUCUGGUGCCAGCAGCCGCGGUAAUUCCAGCUCCAAUAGCGUAUAUUAAAGUUGUUGCAGUUAAAAAGCUCGUAGUUGAACCUUGGGCCUGGCUGGCCGGUCCGCCUCACCGCGUGCACUGGUCCGGCCGGGCCUUUCCUUCUGGGGAGCCGCAUGCCCUUCACUGGGUGUGCCGGGGAACCAGGACUUUUACUUUGAAAAAAUUAGAGUGUUCAAAGCAGGCCUAUGCUCGAAUACAUUAGCAUGGAAUAAUAAAACAGGACGAGCAGUUCUAUUUUGUUGGUUUCUAGGACCGCCGUAAUGAUUAAUAGGGAUAGUCGGGGGCAUCAGUAUUCCGUUGUCAGAGGUGAAUUCAAUUUUCAGAGGUGAAAUUCUUGGAUUUAUUGAAGACU